RNAcentral lists this ribosomal RNA (172 nucleotides) under Pleisticanthoides simplex. RNAcentral describes it as "partial 16S ribosomal RNA". The record is from RNAcentral. Lineage: Eukaryota; Metazoa; Arthropoda; Malacostraca; Decapoda; Oregoniidae.
GCUUUUAUAAUGAAAUUAAUAUUUUUUUAAAAUAAUUUAUAAAAAUAAAGUAAUUUUACUUUAUUUUGUUGGGGCGACAUAGAUAUAAAUAUAUUAUUUAACUGUCAAUAUAUAAUACAUAAAUUUAUGGAUGUGGUAAAUGAUCCUUAUUUAAAGAUUAAAAGACUAAGUU